GCAAGUCGAACGGUACAGGGAGCUUGCUCCGCUGACGAGUGGCGAACGGGUGCAGUAAUAUAUCGGAACGUACCCAAGAGUGGGGGAUAACGUAGCGAAAGUUACGCUAAUACCGCAUACGAUCUAUGGAUGAAAGCAGGGGACCUUCGGGCCUUGUGCUCCUGGAGCGGCCGAUAUCUGAUUAGCUAGUUGGUGAGGUAAAGGCUCACCAAGGCGACGAUCAGUAGCUGGUCUGAGAGGACGACCAGCCACACUGGAACUGAGACACGGUCCAGACUCCUACGGGAGGCAGCAGUGGGGAAUUUUGGACAAUGGGCGCAAGCCUGAUCCAGCAAUGCCGCGU
RNAcentral lists this ribosomal RNA (343 nucleotides) under Massilia timonae. Its description in RNAcentral is "bacterial SSU rRNA". It matches the Rfam family "Bacterial small subunit ribosomal RNA", at positions 57 to 402 of the family's 1533-position model. Lineage: Bacteria; Pseudomonadati; Pseudomonadota; Betaproteobacteria; Burkholderiales; Oxalobacteraceae. The record is from RNAcentral.